This is a long non-coding RNA of Populus euphratica (Euphrates poplar), 805 nucleotides long. RefSeq lists it as uncharacterized. The record is from RefSeq and is a predicted model, not a curated record. NCBI's taxonomy places the organism in Eukaryota, Viridiplantae, Streptophyta, Magnoliopsida, Malpighiales, Salicaceae. The transcript has 3 exons.
AAAACAGAAUAAUAAUAAUAAAAGACGUAGGGAAGAUGAUGAGGUUUGAUUAGAGAAGAAUGAAAGAGGAUGACUGUGAACAUGAGAUAAGAAACUAUGUAACUAUUUAUGAUACUAUAUGGUCUAGUAAAAUAAUUUCAAUAAACUUCAGGGACUAAGUUUAUAAUUAACCUAUUUAAAUUCCUCAGUAAGUCCCCAAACCUCACACGUGUAUGCUUGUUAGAUUUCUUGGGUUAUGCAGGUGGCAACUAGGUGUUAUAUCUUCACGAUCUCCCUUCUGGCCCUGUCUUCGUUUCUUUUGUUAACUGAGAGAGAGCUGUGUAGCAGUCGUUGAAAUGUUUUCCUUGGCCUUUUUCGCUACACUUGAAAAUUGGUAACGUGUUUCCUUUAUCUGCAUGUUAGGGUGUAGGAUUGAAAUUAGAUGAUGCUCUUGCAUUCUGGAAAGCAGAGUUCUCCCAAAAGGUCGGAGCUGAGAGGUUUGACAAAGAAUAUGCAUAAAGCAUUCGCCACAAUUACGGGAGAAUGAAAGAGAACAGAUUCCACUCCUCAUUCUUGUCAAGAAAUAAUCUCAUCAACUCCUGGUGUCGGAGAUCAUCAUGGUUGUCCCUAUCGACAUUUUAGGUCAUUUUCCUUACUAUUGUGGUGUUUAUGAUGACAUGAAACUGGGAUUGUGUGUGUGUGUGUGUAUCCUGAUUAACUCCUCUUGGGCUGGAAUGGCUGAUUCAAUGGAAUUUAGUAUUUUUGUUCCAUCUGAUUAACUUUGCCAUCAAACUAGAAAAUAACUAAAAUUUGGUAUUUCAUCAAA